GGGUGAGGAAUACAUCGGAAUCUACCUUUUCGUGGGGGAUAACGUAGGGAAACUUACGCUAAUACCGCAUACGACCUACGGGUGAGAGUGGGGGACCGCAAGGCCUCACGCGAUUAGAUGAGCCGAUGUCCGAUUAGCUAGUUGGCGGGGUAAUGGCCCACCAAGGCGACGAUCGGUAGCUGGUCUGAGAGGAUGAUCAGCCACACUGGAACUGAGACACGGUCCAGACUCCUACGGGAGGCAGCAGUGGGGAAUAUUGGACAAUGGGCGCAAGCCUGAUCCAGCCAUACCGCGUGGGUGAAGAAGGCCUUCGGGUUGUAAAGCCCUUUUGUUGGGAAAGAAAUCCUGUCGAUUAAUACUCGAUGGGAUGACGGUACCCAAAGAAUAAGCACCGGCUAACUUCGUGCCAGCAGCCGCGGUAAUACGAAGGGUGCAAGCGUUACUCGGAAUUACUGGGCGUA
RNAcentral lists this ribosomal RNA (461 nucleotides) under uncultured Stenotrophomonas sp. Its description in RNAcentral is "bacterial SSU rRNA". It matches the Rfam family "Bacterial small subunit ribosomal RNA", at positions 104 to 562 of the family's 1533-position model. The record is from RNAcentral. Lineage: Bacteria; Pseudomonadati; Pseudomonadota; Gammaproteobacteria; Lysobacterales; Lysobacteraceae.